CCUACGGGUGGCAGCAGUGAGGAAUAUUGGUCAAUGGCCGUGAGCCUGAACCAGCCAAGUCGCGUGAGGGAAGACGGUCCUAUGGUUUGUAAACUUCUUUUGUCGGGGAGUAAAGGUCUCCACGCGUGGAUUUUUGCGUGUACCCUAUGAAUAAGCAUCGGCUAACUCCGUGCCAGCAGCCGCGGUAAUACGGAGGAUGCGAGCGUUAUCCGGAUUUAUUGGGUUUAAAGGGUGCGUAGGCUGUUUUUUAAGUCAGCGGUGAAAUUUUGUGGCUCAACCAUAUCAGGGCCGUUGAAACUGGAAGUCUGGAGUGUGUGAGAGGUAGGCGGAAUGCGUGGUGUAGCGGUGAAAUGCAUAGAUAUCACGCAGAACUCCGAUUGCGAAGGCAGCAUACCAAGCCAUAACUGACACUGAAGCACGAAAGCGUGGGGAUCAAACAGGAUUAGAUACCCCGGUAGUC
RNAcentral lists this ribosomal RNA (460 nucleotides) under uncultured bacterium. RNAcentral's name for it is "partial 16S ribosomal RNA". It matches the Rfam family "Bacterial small subunit ribosomal RNA", at positions 338 to 795 of the family's 1533-position model. The record is from RNAcentral.